RNAcentral lists this transfer RNA (62 nucleotides) under Cirriformia cf. tentaculata HK-2018. RNAcentral describes it as "tRNA-Asn". Lineage: Eukaryota; Metazoa; Annelida; Polychaeta; Terebellida; Cirratulidae. The record is from RNAcentral.
UAGGCGGAAGCUAAAUUAGCAUCUAACUGUUACUUAGACCCAUGCCGAAUAGGCCCGCCUAA